Ictidomys tridecemlineatus (thirteen-lined ground squirrel) is the source of this 47-nucleotide non-coding RNA. Lineage: Eukaryota; Metazoa; Chordata; Mammalia; Rodentia; Sciuridae. The record is from Rfam.
CUGAUGGUUCUUUUAAGAACCACUAGCUUGUUUUAAACAAUAAUUGU